GGUGUCCUGGAUCUGUCAGUACUACAGGCAUACCACAGCUACUCUGCUGUGCCUGUGACAUCAGGGCAAAGUGCAAGUAGCUAUUUCUAUGCUCAGUGUUCAGAAGCCAGUGAGCACUAAGAAUGGUACAUAGACUGACAUUU
Molecule: small nucleolar RNA, 143 nt
Organism: Mesocricetus auratus (golden hamster)
Lineage: Eukaryota; Metazoa; Chordata; Mammalia; Rodentia; Cricetidae
Source: Ensembl